This 253-nucleotide ribosomal RNA is filed under the name uncultured bacterium. RNAcentral's name for it is "partial 16S ribosomal RNA". It matches the Rfam family "Bacterial small subunit ribosomal RNA", at positions 524 to 776 of the family's 1533-position model. The record is from RNAcentral.
UACGUAGGGUGCAAGCGUUGUCCGGAAUUACUGGGCGUAAAGCGCGUGUAGGCGGAUGGGCAAGUCUGCUGUGAAAGCUCCUGGCUUAACCGGGAGUGGUCGGUGGAAACUGCCAAUCUGGAGGACGGUAGAGGUAGGUAGAAUUCCACGUGUAGCAGUGAAAUGCGUAGAGAUGUGGAGGAACACCGGUGGCGAAGGCGGCCACCUGGACGGUAACUGACGCUGAGACGCGAAAGCGUGGGGAGCAAACAGG